This 253-nucleotide ribosomal RNA is filed under the name uncultured bacterium. RNAcentral's name for it is "partial 16S ribosomal RNA". It matches the Rfam family "Bacterial small subunit ribosomal RNA", at positions 524 to 776 of the family's 1533-position model. The record is from RNAcentral.
UACGGGGGGGGCAAGCGUUGUUCGGAAUUACUGGGCGUAAAGGGCUCGUAGGUGGCCAACUAAGUCAGACGUGAAAUCCCUCGGCUUAACCGGGGAACUGCGUCUGAUACUGGAUGGCUUGAGUUUGGGAGAGGGACGCGGAAUUCCAGGUGUAGCGGUGAAAUGCGUAGAUAUCUGGAGGAAUACCGGUGGCGAAGGCGGCAUCCUGGACCAUAACUGACGCUGAGGCGCGAAAGCGUGGGUAGCAAACAGG